AGGACUAACGCUGGCGGCGUGCUUAACACAUGCAAGUCGAGCGGAAAGGCCCUUCGGGGUACUCGAGCGGCGAACGGGUGAGUAACACGUGAGUAAUCUGCCCCUAGCUCUGGGAUAGCUCCGGGAAACCGGGAUUAAUACCGGAUACGACCACUUUAGACAUCUGUUGUGGUGGAAAGAAUUUUGGCUAGGGAUGAGCUCGCGGCCUAUCAGCUUGUUGGUGGGGUAAUGGCCUACCAAGGCGACGACGGGUAGCCGGCCUGAGAGGGCGACCGGCCACACUGGGACUGAGACACGGCCCAGACUCCUACGGGAGGCAGCAGUGGGGAAUAUUGCGCAAUGGGCGAAAGCCUGACGCAGCGACGCCGCGUGGGGGAUGAAGGCCUUCGGGUUGUAACCCUUCAGCAGGGACGAGCGAAGUGACGGUACCUGCAGAAGAAGCGCCGGCUAACUACGUGCCAGCAGCCGC
This 469-nucleotide ribosomal RNA is filed under the name uncultured bacterium. RNAcentral describes it as "SSU rRNA". It matches the Rfam family "Bacterial small subunit ribosomal RNA", at positions 26 to 518 of the family's 1533-position model. The record is from RNAcentral.